This is a long non-coding RNA of Falco peregrinus (peregrine falcon), 3540 nucleotides long. RefSeq lists it as uncharacterized. NCBI's taxonomy places the organism in Eukaryota, Metazoa, Chordata, Aves, Falconiformes, Falconidae. The transcript is spliced from 6 exons. The record is from RefSeq and is a predicted model, not a curated record.
CCUGGUACUACAGCCUUGUUUUUCUCAUUUGUAAUAGCCUGACACAUUGCCCUUGAAGGUCCAGUUUCCCAGGCUUGCAAGGUCUCUACUUCUCUAGACAAAGGUGACACACACCACACAGUACAUCGAACCUUUCAUUCAACUGAAGUUCCUUGUCUGCUGCCUGCGAGGGAGCUGCGGUGCCUGAUGGCCGUGUCCUACUUCUAGGCAUGGAGUCCAAGGCUGAAGGCCGGGUGACAGGCUCUGCAAACCAGGUGGGCUGACUUUCCUGCACUCCAAGGAAGAAUGGGAAGAGAGGGAAAGACGGAAGCAAGUAGUUUGCUGGAGCUUGUUACAGCAGACCGGCUGCUGUUCCCAACGUUCCUGAAAUCAUGAGCUUCCAUUUCCAGAACUUGUCACGCUGAGGCACAGAUCACACAAACUUUCCCAGCUGCUGCUGUGCUGGGCGAAGGGCGCACUGACUCCAGCUUUCUGCCGUUGCCCCUCUGCCUCGCUGGAAGAGGACAUGACAUCCUGAUAUUUGUGACUGUGGGUAUGUCACCAAACCCACACAGAGUGAGCUACGAGGCCUUAUACUAUCGUAAGUAAGUCUAGUAUGGCUAAUGUGCGAGGGACAGAAAAUAAGGACAGAGAACCACUAGAUCUCUACACAGUCUGGGAAUGUCUUCUGUGCAAAGCUGUAACAGCCUGGGUGAGGUGUUCCGCAGUUCUUCCCACAGGGAACUCGGAAGGGAAAUUUCAGCUGGCCUCCUGGAGGCAGGGCUGUCACCCCUGCCCUGCAGAGCUCUCUUAUCGCGACAGUCACAAAUGUUUCAGGGGAGAAGCAGCGUUCUGCCAAGCAAAGCCGAUCCCAGGUAGUGUCUAACAGAAGCAAAUGGUUAAGUCCUUCUUCUCACUCAUACUGCUGUGGUAUCAAAACCCUAAUGAAAACCUAAAUCCAAGUCUUCUCGCUUCGUGGUUUCUCAUACUUUUGUUCCAUCACAGCCAUAUUUCGCCUCUUCUGAUCACAGCAUCUACCUGCGUGACCUCUAUUUUAUCAAACAAUGUUUUGGAAAUGGUGCUGGACACAUUUGUCAUGUCAUAGGAGAUGAAAACUGGAAGUUUUUUAGUUCAAUCCCUGCUCCAGUCCCACAUUUCUUGUGUUGCCUGAUGUGAAACACAGUAUAUAUUAGACCCAGGAGUGCAGAGCAGAGCAAAGCAGAAUCUUGUACCAUGGUGUAUUCCCUUAAAAUGCUUGCAGGUUAGCAGGCAUGCGCUUCAGGUCAGGAUAUUUUAGUUAAAGCAAAUGGAUAACAGAUAUGGCCUUAGGGUAGGUUUUCUCUGAGUAUGAGAACAAGCCCGAAAGGCGAGGAAAGCAGGUGUAGAAAACAGGUAACGCUCUCCCAAAACCAUUGUGUUCCUUUGUCUUGGUGCUAGGCAGAGGAGACUGAAGGUUAGAAACAGGUGGAAAAAUAGUUUCUCCCAGUAGAAGACCGUGAGCAGUUCAGAGGAGACAGCAGGUUAUAAUGACAACCCUUGCCAAUGCAUGCAGAAAAUACUCUGGGUUUGGGGAGAUGGGAAAAGGUACAGACCCCAUCCUGCAAGUGUGGGGCGCAAGAUACUCUGAGGACUGGAGAUCCAUGAAGAACGCCCUGCACAAAGGUGGUCUCAGUGAUGCCUUUGGCCCCUGCUCUCUGCCUGUUCCCUACAGACGCUUCCUUUCACAUUGUAGACAGGCAGUUUUUGUCCAACACUCUGUAUCCUUACUGCAUAAAUCAAUGAAUGUUCAAGGGAUGGGCCAUCUUCCACUGCCUGAGGUAGGUGGAUGCAGUGCCCUUGGUUCCCUUAGGUGCCAAGCCCAGACCGCUUGAUCUCAUUGUGUUCAGCAGCAGGCAGUGGCGUGCGAGGCACUGGGUGGGCUAAGCCUUUGCUCACCACCUCUGUGUAGUGAAGCCUCCUUUCUGCACCGCAACAGCCUCUUCUCACAACUGCUAUAUUUUUUCCUGCUUUCAGAUCGCGUGAUUCUGUGCUCUGCCAUCAUGAUGUUUUACAGCAAACACCCAUCUGCAAUAUCUCCUUAAUGAUAAGAAAAGCUAGAUUUCAGUCCCUCAGUUUUCUGACAAGGAUAACAAUGCCUCUUCCUCUAGAGUGAAGGGCUGGAGGCAUUGUCUAUUAUCACCGUAGCUUUGUGUCUCUGGAGGUGGAUGUUUGGUUAGACUCUCCAGUGAUACAGAUUUGCCAGGUAUCCCUUAGCUGUCAUCGGAAUUUAUAAAACAAAAACCCACCUGACCCCUGGUGACAGGCUACUGAGACAGGAAACCUCUGUUAGUCCACAGAAACCAAGUAAAUAGGGCUGGGAAAACCUCCAGAGCCCACUGCCGUACCAGAGAAUGAUUGUCUCCCAGACAGCUCCACAUGAGCGAAGCAACAGGCUUUCCUCAGGGAGACAGGUCAGCAUCUCCAUUAUCGAGUGAGCCCAUCAGAGGCUAAAUCUCUAUCCUUUUAAUUUCACCCUAUUCUUCAUAGCUGUAAGACCUUUAUUCCUCCUAGGACAAUUAUUCUUCCAUCAAAUACUUGUAGCCGGUUAAGUAUGCUCCUCUGGGUAUAGCUGGGCAGCUAUACAUAUUUAGCUCUCUUUCCCUCCCCAGGAAUCAAUUUCCCCAGCCCUUUAAUCAUGUUUACUGCUCUUCUCUGAAUCUGUGGAGUUGCCGGUAUUUUGCAUGGGUUCACAUCCAUCUCUGGGCUUUUUGAUGAGCUGUGAGGCUUCAUCUUCACCUUUUUUUUACAAAAAGCGAGGCAAUCUGGUGAAGCAGUUAACGCUCUGAGCUCCUGGCCUCCCGUGACUGUGAUCCUCUGCCUCCCUAAACUGCUGGGUGAUGCUGGAGCAUCAAGACACUUCUUGGCAGCUUUUUCUUCUUAUUUGCCCUGGUAUUUGACCCCUACGGGAGCGGUUUGGUUUCUCCCAGGAUCUUGGAUGCCAGUGAGCUCUGCUCACCUUUCUUCCCUGCCAUCUGCCAUCCUGGCAUUUCUUGGCCUUGGAACAGCAGAUCAGAUUUCACCUUGAUCAAGCUGCAAAACAUGAAGGCCUUAUGUGAAUCAUCCCUUUUGAAUUCAGCCACCAGCACCUGGAAAGAGGCCACCAGCACUUGGGGGUUGACAACAUUAUUAAUGCAAGUCAUUAUUUGUGCGAACACGUUCCUGGCUCAUAUGAAGCAUGUGGAUUCCCGCUGUUUCAAAGGAGAUGGAAAUACCUGCUGUAUGCAGAUAACCCACCCGCCUCCGCCCUUUCCUAACCAUCACUGCCCACCCCUCGGACCUGGCCCUCUCCAGCAUCCCUUUGGAUGAGCAAUGUGUAUCUGCUUUGGGCCCCUUUGUGAAACUCCUGAAGGUUUUACAGCGGUGUCAGACUAACAAUGUGUAGCAUAAUUUAGAGAGGAAUGGGAAAUUAUUCAUUCAGGUUGAAUCACAAUAAGAAUUUCUCAGGUUUGAGGGGGUGGGAAGCAGGGGUGAAACAAUAACACAAAAAAACCCAAACCCAAAAUAAAGAGAAAAAUACCCUGA